GAGUUUGAUCCUGGCUCAGGACGAACGCUGGCGGCGUGCUUAACACAUGCAAGUCGAACGAUGAAGCCUUUCGGGGUGGAUUAGUGGCGAACGGGUGAGUAACACGUGGGCAAUCUGCCCUUCACUUCGGGACAAGCCCUGGAAACGGGGUCUAAUACCGGAUAAUACUUCUCCUCUCAUGGGGGGAAGUUGAAAGCUCCGGCGGUGAAGGAUGAGCCCGCGGCCUAUCAGCUAGUUGGUGGGGUAAUGGCCUACCAAGGCGACGACGGGUAGCCGGCCUGAGAGGGCGACCGGCCACACUGGGACUGAGACACGGCCCAGACUCCUACGGGAGGCAGCAGUGGGGAAUAUUGCACAAUGGGCGAAAGCCUGAUGCAGCGACGCCGCGUGAGGGAUGACGGCCUUCGGGUUGUAAACCUCUUUCAGCAGGGAAGAAGCGCAAGUGACGGUACCUGCAGAAGAAGCACCGGCUAACUACGUGCCAGCCGCCGCGGUAAUA
Molecule: ribosomal RNA, 499 nt
Filed under: uncultured bacterium
Lineage: Bacteria
Description: bacterial SSU rRNA
Rfam family: Bacterial small subunit ribosomal RNA
Source: RNAcentral